Molecule: ribosomal RNA, 767 nt
Filed under: uncultured bacterium
Lineage: Bacteria
Description: bacterial SSU rRNA
Rfam family: Bacterial small subunit ribosomal RNA
Source: RNAcentral
GACGGGUGAGUAAUGCUUAGGAAUCUGCCUAUUAGUGGGGGACAACAUUCCGAAAGGAAUGCUAAUACCGCAUACGUCNNNCGGGAGAAAGCNNNGGACCUUCGGGCCUUGCGCUAAUAGAUGAGCCUAAGUCGGAUUAGCUAGUUGGUGGGGUAAAGGCCUACCAAGGCGACGAUCUGUAGCGGGUCUGAGAGGAUGAUCCGCCACACUGGGACUGAGACACGGCCCAGACUCCUACGGGAGGCAGCAGUGGGGAAUAUUGGACAAUGGGGGGAACCCUGAUCCAGCCAUGCCGCGUGUGUGAAGAAGGCCUUUUGGUUGUAAAGCACUUUAAGCGAGGAGGAGGCUACUAGUAUUAAUACUACUGGAUAGUGGACGUUACUCGCAGAAUAAGCACCGGCUAACUCUGUGCCAGCAGCCGCGGUAAUACAGAGGGUGCGAGCGUUAAUCGGAUUUACUGGGCGUAAAGCGUGCGUAGGCGGCUGAUUAAGUCGGAUGUGAAAUCCCUGAGCUUAACUUAGGAAUUGCAUUCGAUACUGGUCAGCUAGAGUAUGGGAGAGGAUGGUAGAAUUCCAGGUGUAGCGGUGAAAUGCGUAGAGAUCUGGAGGAAUACCGAUGGCGAAGGCAGCCAUCUGGCCUAAUACUGACGCUGAGGUACGAAAGCAUGGGGAGCAAACAGGAUUAGAUACCCUGGUAGUCCAUGCCGUAAACGAUGUCUACUAGCCGUUGGGGCCUUUGAGGCUUUAGUGGCGCAGCUAACGCGANAA